This 491-nucleotide long non-coding RNA is filed under the name Ananas comosus (pineapple). Its description in RNAcentral is "long non-coding RNA (ACOM_LNC034581)". Lineage: Eukaryota; Viridiplantae; Streptophyta; Magnoliopsida; Poales; Bromeliaceae. The record is from RNAcentral.
AGGCUCGAUUUUUCUUAAUAAGUCCGAAGAAAUUUUAAUCUUUCAGUUUCGACCACGUUUGGUCAUCGAAAAUUGUGCCGAACUGUAAUCUUAAUCAGAUAACUUUCGGAUUUUAUUUCUCACUCUACGGGUGUCAGAAUGACAUGAAACUUUAUAUCUAGCCUCAUAAAUAUAUUUCUGACAUAUCCUCCAAUUUUUAUAAUUUUCUGAGACUGUGCAUUUUCUGCUAAUUUUUCUAUCCCGUUUCCAACAGAAAAUUCUAGAUCUUCUGUUUUCAUCCCGAUUUCAGCACAAGUCACUUCUGACUUAUAUUUUACUUCUCUAAAUCCAAUAAAAAUAGUAUCUCACACUAUUUUUAUUUAUUUUUACUUUUAUAUUAAAGAUCCGACAUGUUACAUUCCACCGCAGCCUCACCGGAACCAUUUAAAUGGCUUUCCAAUCGAACGUACACCGUAACCUCAUGAUUUUCGAAGUCUGGUACCUUACAGUGU